RNAcentral lists this ribosomal RNA (918 nucleotides) under uncultured bacterium. RNAcentral's name for it is "bacterial SSU rRNA". It matches the Rfam family "Bacterial small subunit ribosomal RNA", at positions 8 to 916 of the family's 1533-position model. The record is from RNAcentral.
AGAGUUUGAUCCUGGCUCAGGAUGAACGCUAGCUACAGGCUUAACACAUGCAAGUCGAGGGGAAACGACAUCGAAAGCUUGCUUUUGAUGGGCGUCGACCGGCGCACGGGUGAGUAACGCGUAUCCAACCUGCCCAUCACUUGGGGAUAACCUUGCGAAAGUAAGACUAAUACCCAAUGAUAUCUCUAGAAGACAUCUGAAAGAGAUUAAAGAUUUAUCGGUGAUGGAUGGGGAUGCGUCUGAUUAGCUUGUUGGCGGGGUAACGGCCCACCAAGGCGACGAUCAGUAGGGGUUCUGAGAGGAAGGUCCCCCACAUUGGAACUGAGACACGGUCCAAACUCCUACGGGAGGCAGCAGUGAGGAAUAUUGGUCAAUGGGCGAGAGCCUGAACCAGCCAAGUAGCGUGCAGGAUGACGGCCCUAUGGGUUGUAAACUGCUUUUAUAAGGGAAUAAAGUGAGUCUCGUGAGACUUUUUGCAUGUACCUUAUGAAUAAGGACCGGCUAAUUCCGUGCCAGCAGCCGCGGUAAUACGGAAGGUCCGGGCGUUAUCCGGAUUUAUUGGGUUUAAAGGGAGCGUAGGCCGGAGAUUAAGCGUGUUGUGAAAUGUAGACGCUCAACGUCUGCACUGCAGCGCGAACUGGUUUCCUUGAGUACGCACAAAGUGGGCGGAAUUCGUGGUGUAGCGGUGAAAUGCUUAGAUAUCACGAAGAACUCCGAUUGCGAAGGCAGCUCACUGGAGCGCAACUGACGCUGAAGCUCGAAAGUGCGGGUAUCGAACAGGAUUAGAUACCCUGGUAGUCCGCACGGUAAACGAUGGAUGCCCGCUGUUGGUCUGAAUAGGUCAGCGGCCAAGCGAAAGCAUUAAGCAUCCCACCUGGGGAGUACGCCGGCAACGGUGAAACUCAAAGGAAUUGACGG